GCCAGACGUGGUGGCGCACACCUGUAAUCCCAGCAGCGUGGGAGGCUGAGGCACAAGGAUCACGAGUUCAAAGCCAGCCUCAGCAAAAAAAGCGAUGCAUAAGCAACGCAGUGAGACUCUGUCUCUA
This 127-nucleotide small RNA is filed under the name Marmota monax (woodchuck). Lineage: Eukaryota; Metazoa; Chordata; Mammalia; Rodentia; Sciuridae. The record is from RNAcentral.